RNAcentral lists this long non-coding RNA (223 nucleotides) under Capsicum annuum. RNAcentral describes it as "long non-coding RNA (CANN_LNC019163)". Lineage: Eukaryota; Viridiplantae; Streptophyta; Magnoliopsida; Solanales; Solanaceae. The record is from RNAcentral.
CUGACGAUGCGUACGAGACUGCCCUAUCAUAAAAUCCAUGUUCACUAUUUCCCACUUCCAAGUAGGGAUGCUAAAAUCCUGCAAUGUAUUACUAGGCCUUUGGUGCUCAACCUUAACCUACUGAUAAUUUGGGCACUUAGCCACUAACUCUACAAUAUCAUUCUUUAUACUACUCCACUAAUAGAUUUAUCGCAUAUCGUAGUAUAUCUUAGUGGAUCCUGGG